Long non-coding RNA from Carassius auratus (goldfish), 715 nucleotides. RefSeq lists it as uncharacterized. Lineage: Eukaryota; Metazoa; Chordata; Actinopteri; Cypriniformes; Cyprinidae. The record is from RefSeq and is a predicted model, not a curated record. The transcript is spliced from 6 exons.
AGUUCUGAAUGUGCAUUCAGGUUACAAAGCUAAAGAUGGCUGAAGUGUUCAGAGAAGCCCAGCUCUGACUUCCUGUUUUCUCUGUGUGGUCGAGGUUUCACUGUGUUUCCUCUCACAGUAAGAGAUGUUUGAAUGAAGACAUUCAUCUGGAUCAGACAAUGAAGAUUAUACAGCUUCACUUCUUUCUGUUGAUGUGUUCUCAAGCCACAGAGAGUUUAACAAACACAUCAGUAACUUUAGGAGCAGAUGUGAUUAUAAACUGUGAUCUUGAUAUAGAGGAGAUUUACUGAAAUAUCAGCGCUGAUGAAUUAGGAGUUUAUUAUUGUGUCAAAACUAGUGAACCACAAAAAUUCAGCCACGGCACCAAAAUCUACAUCAACGACUCAGUCCUCAGGAAUCAGACAGAAUCACAUGAGACUCGGUGGAGAAACCUGAGCAUCAUCACAUCUGUCCUGUUGAGUCUGAUUCUGAUCUUCACAUUAAUAGUUUUGGUGAAGAGCUACGUAGCUUACAUUUACGAAACUGGAAGAUCUAAAAAUUACACUGCAGCUCAAAACUCAAAUAAUCCAAAGUGUGCUGAAAUUGAUUUAUUCAACAUAGGGCCUUGUCCAGAGCAGACCACGACUGUCCUCUACAGCCAAUGAAACUUUCUACUAGUUCUGCAGUUUUAUGUUUUAUUAUUUUUCAUACUGGAAAUUAAAGACACAAACCUCAA